This 499-nucleotide ribosomal RNA is filed under the name uncultured bacterium. RNAcentral describes it as "partial 16S ribosomal RNA". It matches the Rfam family "Bacterial small subunit ribosomal RNA", at positions 899 to 1397 of the family's 1533-position model. The record is from RNAcentral.
ACUCAAAUGAAUAGACGGGGGCCCGCACAAGCGGUGGAGCAUGUGGUUUAAUUCGAGGCAACGCGAAGAACCUUACCCAGGCUUGACAUCCCAAGACCGCCGUGGAAACACGGUUUCCCCUUCGGGGGCUUGGAGACAGGUGUUGCAUGGCUGUCGUCAGCUCGUGUCGUGAGAUGUUGGGUUAAGUCCCGCAACGAGCGCAACCCUUGUCCCUAGUUACCAGCGGUUCGGCCGGGCACUCUAGGGAGACUGCCGGUGAUAAGCCGGAGGAAGGUGGGGACGACGUCAAGUCAUCAUGGCCUUUAUGCUUGGGGCCACACACGUGCUACAAUGGCCGGUACAAUGGGUCGCGAACCCGCGAGGGGGAGCCAAUCUCAAAAAGCCGGUCUCAGUUCGGAUUGGAGUCUGCAAUUCGACUCCAUGAAGCCGGAAUCGCUAGUAAUCGCGCAUCAGCUACGGCGCGGUGAAUACGUUCCCGGGCCUUGUACACACCGCCCGU